GCUGGAUACCUUGCCUACCAUUAACAAAUCAAACCUAAACUACAUAGAUUAUGUCAAAGUAGGUAAUAAAAUAUCUGCAGAACUUAAAGCAGAGGGAGCAGGACUUAUAAUUGCUAUGACACACAUGAAAUGGAUUAAUGACAUCAGACUUGCCCAGAACACCCAAGGAAUAGAUCUGGUUCUGGGCGGCCAUGACCAUGAUUAUGGAAUCAAAAAGGUGAAUGGAACUUGGAUUGUCAAAAGUGGGUCUGAUUUCAGGAAUUUCUCAAAAAUAAAUAUAAGAAAGUUUGGUGCAUCAUUUCAGUAUACAUUUCAAAGGAUUGACAUUUUGAGGAACCUAGAAGAAGAUUCUUUUAUAAAAUCAGUGGUGGAUGAUUGUACUCAAAACCUGCAGGUACCCUUUGUUCAAACCGUAUACAUCCUGCAGGAGAUUUUACUAUGCAUGAUCUUUUAACUAUCCUUCCCAUUGUGGACCCACUUCUAGUAGUCAGAAUUACAGGAGGACAACUGUUGGAAGCUCUCAAAAAUGGAGUCUACAGAUAUCCAGCUCUUGAUGGAAGGUUUCCUCAAGUAGCAGGAAUGGAAUUUGGAUUUGAUCCAAAUGCAGAACCAGGGCACCGAAUUAUAAGAGACUCUGUAAAGAUUCAAGGACAAUAUCUCAAGAAGAACAAAGUCUAUCAACUUGCCAUUAAGUAGAGCUUAGCUAAUGGAAAGGAUGGCUAUGUAAUGUUUCAGAAUUCUCCUAGGAUGUAUGAUACAGAAACUGCACAGCUACUUUCCACAGUUGUUGUUAAUCACUUUGAAUCUAUCAAGAUUGUGCAUGGCAUCAAAAAGUGCAUCUCCGGUCACCGAAUGAGUUUAAUUACCAAGUCCAAAUCAGCAUCACUAACAGCCUUUGAAACAAGAACAGAUACAAGCACAUCAGUAGUUGCAGUGCCUGGCAUAGAAGGAAGAAUCUGUCACAUUUCCAAGGAAAUGAAGGAACACUUGCGACAACUAAGAAUGGCAAGGAAAGAAGGGCUAAACACAUUUCCCCCACUUAGCAAAGAAUGAGAAUUCUGACUCUGACUGACUGAAAGUGAUAAAUAAUGUCACCAGCGAUAUAGAACCUGAAACCAUAUGAGCUGCUACUUCAUUUGUUAUAUGUAUUUUGCAUAUUUAUUAUAAUUAUUUAGCUUUUCCUUUCCACUGUACUUAAAAUGUUCCCUUGGUUUGAGUGUUUAUUCAUUUGAAACAAUUUAAAAUAGUUCUUGCAUUCAUCAAAUCUCUCUCUAAGAAAAAUGUAAUACAACCAUUUUCUUGUAUUUAAAAUAAUAUACUAAUGUUUGUUCAUUUUGGAAAUAACUUCUGGUUGCCUUUGUUAAAAUGAUGUUUUUCAUAUUGUUGCCAUUUUACAUAUAGCUCUACUUGUAAUUAUAAUGUCCACUACCCAUAAGUACUAGCUUAUAGUGAAGCUAUAUAAUAUUUACAGUAUUAAAUCUGAAAGUUAUUUUUGUCUACUGACAUAAGCCUAACUAAUACAUUCAUAGAGAAAAUGCUUCCACCGCAUCACAGUAAAACUCAGAUUAUAGUAAUGGUCAAAGGAUGAUGAUAGACUGUGCUUGGCUGACUAUUGCAUGCCACUAAAAUGUCACAAAAUGGGAAAGUGUCAUGUCAAAUAUUCAUUGUUCCCUGUACGAUCACCACUUAGUACCAAUAAAGAAGAAUCUGUACCCUC
This is a long non-coding RNA of Malaclemys terrapin pileata, 1717 nucleotides long. RefSeq lists it as uncharacterized. The transcript has 5 exons. The record is from RefSeq and is a predicted model, not a curated record. NCBI's taxonomy places the organism in Eukaryota, Metazoa, Chordata, Testudines, Emydidae.